GCCCAGACUCCUACGGGAGGCAGCAGUGGGGAAUAUUGCACAAUGGGGGGAACCCUGAUGCAGCGACGCCGCGUGGGUGAAGGAGCACCUCGGUGCGUAAAGCCCUAUCGGCAGGGGAGAAACAGACGGUACCUGACUAAGAAGCCCCGGCUAACUACGUGCCAGCAGCCGCGGUAAUACGUAGGGGGCAAGCGUUAUCCGGAUUUACUGGGUGUAAAGGGAGCGCAGACGGCAGUGCAAGUCUGGAGUGAAAGCCCGGGGCCCAACCCCGGAACUGCUCUGGAAACUGUGCGGCUAGAGUACUGGAGGGGCAGGCGGAAUUCCCAGUGUAGCGGUGAAAUGCGUAGAUAUUAGGAGGAACACCAGUGGCGAAGGCGGCUUACUGGACUGUAAAUGACGCUGAGGCUCGAAAGCGUGGGGAGCAAACAGGAUUAGAUACCCCCGUA
RNAcentral lists this ribosomal RNA (446 nucleotides) under uncultured bacterium. RNAcentral describes it as "bacterial SSU rRNA". It matches the Rfam family "Bacterial small subunit ribosomal RNA", at positions 329 to 792 of the family's 1533-position model. The record is from RNAcentral.